RNAcentral lists this ribosomal RNA (441 nucleotides) under uncultured bacterium. RNAcentral's name for it is "partial 16S ribosomal RNA". It matches the Rfam family "Bacterial small subunit ribosomal RNA", at positions 339 to 795 of the family's 1533-position model. The record is from RNAcentral.
CUACGGGGCGCUGCAGUAGGGAAUCUUCCGCAAUGGACGAAAGUCUGACGGAGCGACACCGCGUGGUGGAUGACGGCCUUAGGGUUGUAAACACCUUUUCUACCGGAAGAAAAUCUGACGGUACGGUAGGAAUAAGGACCGGCUAAUUACGUGCCAGCAGCCGCGGUAAUACGUAAGGUCCAAGCAUUAUCCGGAAUUAUUGGGCGUAAAGCGUCCGCAGGUGGUGAAUUAAGUUGAUUAUUAAAUACCAAAGCUCAACUUUGGAACCGUAGUCAAAACUAAUUUACUAGAGAUGUGGAGAGGUGAAUGGAAUUAUGCAAGUAGGGUUAUAAUCCGUAGAUAUGCAUAGGAUCAUCAAAAGCGAAGGCAGUUCACUGGACACAUUCUGACACGCAACGACGAAAGCGUGGGGAGCGAAAGGGAUUAGAUACCCGCGUAGUC